CCCUUAGAUGUCCGGGGCUGCACGCGCGCUACACUGUAGAAAGCAGCGUGCUUUAAAACCUUUCCUGAAAAGGAUGGGUAACCCCAGCAUAAUUCUACGUGCUUGGGAUAGAGAUUUGCAAUUUUCUCUCUUGAACGAGGAAUUCCCAGUAAGUGCGAGUCAUCAGCUCGCGUUGAUUACGUCCCUGCCCUUUGUACACACCGCCCGUCGCUACUACCGAUUGGGAAAAUUUUAGAGAGUCCUGGACUGAUGAUUGUUCGGCUUCACGGCCUUACUUUCGUCGGGAAAGAAUUCGAUAAUAUUUUUCUAGAGGAAGUAAAAGUCGUAACA
This 330-nucleotide ribosomal RNA is filed under the name uncultured eukaryote. RNAcentral's name for it is "partial 18S ribosomal RNA". It matches the Rfam family "Eukaryotic small subunit ribosomal RNA", at positions 1470 to 1796 of the family's 1831-position model. The record is from RNAcentral.